UCUACAAACCUAAGCUCACAUUUUCUGAUGGUUUCUUGUGCAGUCUCUAAGCUAUUACUGACUUUAAAACUAUUGCAAGUUCUUUAUUGAUAGUAUCUACUUGGUAAGCUACUGUUUCUGUUCGUUCAGUUCUUUGAAUAUAUUUACAAUGGUUUUUGCACUUAUUUAAUUUUGUGUGUGUACAUAUGUGUGGGUGAGCACAUCAUAUUGUACAUGUGGAGGUCAGAGGACAGCUUGUGGGAGUCAGACCUUUCCUUCCACCAUAUGGGUCCUGGGGAUUUAACUCAGGUCGCCAAACUUGUAUUAAGUGCCUUGACUGGCUGAGCCAUAUCCAUAGUCCCUCUGAUUAUAUUUUAAAUAGAUUGUGUAAAGUUUUUCUCUAGUAGGUUCCGAAUCAGGCUUCCACAGGGGCUGAUUUUCCUUGAAAACUACAGGUUUGCUGGAUACACUGUGACAGUCUGGAGACCAGACUGUGUUUGCUGUCUCUGCUGUGUGCUUGUACGUUGGUUCCCUGCAGCACCUCUGUGCAGCCCGUAUUCAUCAUUCAUAACCUCUGAAUUUUUCUCCCAUUUGCUUCAUCAUAAGCAGGGGACCGUCUGGGAUAAAAAGUAUACUUGCCUUGACCUAGGAGCUGUGUCCAGACGGAGGACACAGUGCUCUGCUUCAUUCUCAUUUGUACAGAGCCUCGAGAUGACAGCUUACAACUUGGCUUUGUCUUUGUUCUUCCCUGGUUUUCUCUUUGGGGUUUUAAAACUGGUUUUGUUUUGUUUUUUGUUUUUUUGUUUUUUUGGUUCUUUUUUUUCGGAGCUGGGGACCGAACCCAGGGCCUUGCGCUUCCUAGAUAAGCGCUCUACCACUGAGCUAAAUCCCCAGCCCCUGUUUUUUUUUUUUAAUACACAAGGAAAGAUAAUGUUUGUUGUAUGCUAAGUCUGGUCAAGUAAAGGUGAGCUCUGCAAAUGGACAUUUCCAGGGAUCUGUCAUCAAAGCCAAAGGACAAUAAAGCCAUUGUGGUGAGGUUGUGGGUCUGCUCCAAACCCACAUACCACCAGGCGGGGAGGCUUCUGACUUCACUGUGACUAAUCCUUCCUGUUUUCAGGGUGACUGAAGGUCUGGAAGGAGGGGAGAGAAUGGGACUACCUCAUGCCUUCUGAGUUCCUCCUGCCUCUCUUCCAGUUUUUUGAGAUAAGGUCUCACUUUGUAGAUGGAUUGAAACUCAUUAUGUAGUCCAGGUUGGCUUAGAAGUCAUGGCAAUACUCCUGACUCAGGUUUCCCAAGUGCUGGGAUUAGAGGUCUAAGUCCCCAUGCCUGGCUCAGUGGGCUUUUGUGAUUAAAUGGUCCUUCGGGUGAUUUCAAUAGUCCUGGGCAGGUUGAAGGAGAAAUCACUCUUUCUAGUAUUCCCACAGAUUUUAAGGAUGAGCAAAGGUGUUCUGAUCUGUUUUGUUUUGUUCUGCCAUUUCCACUUAUUACAGGUUCCCAGCAUGGGGCCUUGGGUGCUUGUAGUGUGAAACCUUAGCUCCUGGAUGCCUCCACAGUGCUAGUCAAUGGGUGUCUUAGUUUUGCUUCUAUUGCUGUGAUAGAGACCAUGAUGAAAAGCAACUUGGGAAGGAAAGGGUUUGUUUGGCUCACAGUAUUCUGCCUCACAGUCCACUGACAGAAGCCAGGGCAGGAACUUAAGGCAGGAACUGAAGCAGAAGUCAUGGAGGAACACUGCUGACUGGCUUGCUUCUCGUGUCUUACUCAAAUUUUCUUAUACAACACAGGUCCAUCUUCCCAGGGGUGUUAGACCUACAGUGGGUUAGAUCUUUCU
Molecule: long non-coding RNA, 1807 nt
Filed under: Rattus norvegicus (Norway rat)
Lineage: Eukaryota; Metazoa; Chordata; Mammalia; Rodentia; Muridae
Description: long non-coding RNA NONRATT028222
Source: RNAcentral